AUUGAACGCUGGCGGCAUGCCUUACACAUGCAAGUCGAACGGCAGCACGGGUGCUUGCACCUGGUGGCGAGUGGCGAACGGGUGAGUAAUACAUCGGAACAUGUCCUGUAGUGGGGGAUAGCCCGGCGAAAGCCGGAUUCAUACCGCAUACGAUCUACGGAUGAAAGCGGGGGACCUUCGGGCCUCGCGCUAUAGGGUUGGCCGAUGGCUGACUAGCUAGUUGGUGGGGUAAAGGCCUACCAAGGCGACGAUCAGUAGCUGGUCUGAGAGGCCGACCAGCGACAUUGGGACUGAGACACGUCCCAGACUCCUACGGGAGGCAGCAGUGGGGAAUUUUGGACAAUGGGCGAAAGCCUGAUCCAGCAAUGCCGCGUGUGUGAAGAAGGCCUUCUGGUUGUAAAGCACUUUUGUCCGGAAAGAAAUCCUUGGCCCUAAUACGGUCGGGGGAUGACGGUACCGGAAGAAUAAGCACCGGCUAACUACGUG
RNAcentral lists this ribosomal RNA (486 nucleotides) under uncultured bacterium. RNAcentral's name for it is "partial 16S ribosomal RNA". It matches the Rfam family "Bacterial small subunit ribosomal RNA", at positions 30 to 507 of the family's 1533-position model. The record is from RNAcentral.